Molecule: ribosomal RNA, 254 nt
Filed under: uncultured bacterium
Lineage: Bacteria
Description: partial 16S ribosomal RNA
Rfam family: Bacterial small subunit ribosomal RNA
Source: RNAcentral
UACGAAGGGGGCUAGCGUUGUUCGGAAUCACUGGGCGUAAAGGGCGCGUAGGCGGCCGAUCAAGUCGGGGGUGAAAGCCUGUGGCUCAACCACAGAAUUGCCUUCGAUACUGGUUGGCUUGAGACCGGAAGAGGUAAGUGGAACUGCGAGUGUAGAGGUGAAAUUCGUAGAUAUUCGCAAGAACACCAGUGGCGAAGGCGGCUUACUGGUCCGGUUCUGACGCUGAGGCGCGAAAGCGUGGGGAGCAAACAGGG